UAAUACGGGGCCUGCGAGCAUUGUCCGGANUUAUUGGGCGUAAAGGGCUCGUAGGCGGUUCAUCACGUCGGAAGUGAAAACUCGGGGCUUAACCCCGAGCCUGCUUCCGAUACGGGCGAACUAGAGGUAUGCAGGGGAGAAUGGAAUUCCUGGUGGAGCGGUGGAAUGCGCANAUAUCANGAGGAACNCCANUGGCGAAGGCGGUUCUCUGGGCNUUACCUGACGCUGAGGAGCGAAAGCGUGGGGAGCAAACAGGCUUAGAUACCCUGGUAGUCCACCCCGUAAACGGUGGGCACUAUGUGUGGGACUCAUUCCACGAGUUCCGUGCCGAAGCUAACGCAUUAGGUGCCCCGCCUGGGGGAGUACGCCGCAAGGCUAAAACUCACAGGAAUUGACGGGGCCCGCACAANCGGCGGANCAUGCGGAUUAAUUCCAAUGCCACGCGAAGAACCUUNCCUGGGGUUUGACAUAUACCGGAAAGCUGGCAGANAUGUUNCCCCCGCAAGGUCGGUAUACANGUGGUNCA
This 526-nucleotide ribosomal RNA is filed under the name uncultured bacterium. RNAcentral's name for it is "partial 16S ribosomal RNA". It matches the Rfam family "Bacterial small subunit ribosomal RNA", at positions 521 to 1045 of the family's 1533-position model. The record is from RNAcentral.